Molecule: ribosomal RNA, 440 nt
Filed under: uncultured bacterium
Lineage: Bacteria
Description: partial 16S ribosomal RNA
Rfam family: Bacterial small subunit ribosomal RNA
Source: RNAcentral
CCUACGGGAGGCAGCAGUGGGGAAUAUUGCACAAUGGGGGAAACCCUGAUGCAGCGACGCCGCGUGAGUGAAGAAGUAUCUCGGUAUGUAAAGCUCUUUCAGCAGGGAAGAAAAUGACGGUACCUGACUAAGAAGCCCCGGCUAACUACGUGCCAGCAGCCGCGGUAAGACGUAGGGGGCAAGCGUUAUCCGGAUUUACUGGGUGUAAAGGGAGCGUAGGCGGCGCUGCAAGUCCGGAGUGAAAGCCCAGGGCUUAACCAUGGUACUGCUCUGGAAACUGUGGAGCUUGAGUGGGGGAGGGGCAGGCGGAAUGCCUGGUGUAGCGGUGAAAUGCGUAGAUAUUAGGAGGAACACCGACGGCGAAGGCGGCCUGCUGGACCGUAACUGACGUUGAGGCACGAAAGCGUGGGGAGCAAACAGGAUUAGAUACCCGAGUAGUC